Molecule: long non-coding RNA, 1152 nt
Organism: Hypomesus transpacificus
Lineage: Eukaryota; Metazoa; Chordata; Actinopteri; Osmeriformes; Osmeridae
Exons: 5
Source: RefSeq, a predicted model, not a curated record
AGGAUAGGAUUAUCCCACUUCGUUUAAAAAUGACUUCCUAGUUUGCUGUCAUCGAACUAGCUCUAACUUUCUACCAAAGCUCUUUUCCUAGCUAGGCUAGCACGCUGCUAGCUCAGUAGCUUGUUGGCUAUGUUGCAAGGAAUGCACAGAAGAGUCGAAACAAAAAACGAUAUUUUGUGCAACUUAGUUAUAUAUAUAGCUCUAUAUAAUUUAUACACCUAAUUCGACUACUUCUAAGAACACUGUGAAGGACACUGGUAUUUGGUCAUUUGUAUUCGACUACGUUUUAGUGAAAACCCCUUAGCAACUCCUUUCUCUGACUUGUAUUGUAAACAAGACCCUGGCUGCAGCAGGAUGUUACGCUUUUUAACAAUUUCCGCUUUUUUUUGUGCCACAACCAGAGAAUAGCUAACGGUGCCUAGCUGUUCUUGAUAACGUCGCAUAUCCCUGGUUCAUCAUCUCAUCGUCAGGUUGGCCAAAAAGGUAGGAAGGUACGUUGAUGGUGUGCAGUAGUCGUAGCCUUGACGGACAAAACUGAGUUAACAAGGAGUCGAAAUCUGUGACUAUGGAUGACGUAAAGAAUGCACCUCCUCCUCCACCACUUCCACCCCCCCAACGGUCACUCAACCAUCACUCCAAUACUUCCACCCCACCAUGCCCAGGCCAGGCCGUUGAGGCAGCCAUCCCAUUUGCUCCACAUGAGAGUGAAUACCCAGUCCAGGAAACCAACCCUACACCAGGGGCACUUCCUGGCACACAGACUGCCCAGCUCACUCAAGAGGACGAGCAAGCCAUUGGCAACUUAAUGGAUUUGGGACUGAAUAUGUCUUGGGACGAGGUACGUCAAGUAUACAUGGCCUGCAACAAAAACGCAGAAGUUGCAGCUGACAUUCUGAUUCCCUGAUUCCUCCAGCCCUUUAACCACUACACUACACCCCUCAGCUAAGCCCCCUAGCCUGCCUCAGUAAAAAAGAAUUCACAUUUGCACUUAAAGAAAAUGUUGUUUAGAUCAAUGGUCAUGUGAUGAAUAGCCCCGCACUGCAUGAAUGUAGAAUAAUUUGUAAUUGGUCAGAUAGGGCCGUAGGUGUUAAAGUACCAAAGCGCCUCUUUCAUGUUAUCCAUUUUCAAUAAACCUGGCAGUUUGAAACACUG